UACGUAGGGUGCGAGCGUUGUCCGGAAUUAUUGGGCGUAAAGGGCUCGUAGGCGGUCUGUUGCGUCAGGAGUGAAAACUCGGGGCUUAACCCCGAGCCUGCUUCUGAUACGGGCAGACUAGAGGUAUGCAGGGGAGAACGGAAUUCCUGGUGUAGCGGUGAAAUGCGCAGAUAUCAGGAGGAACACCGGUGGCGAAGGCGGUUCUCUGGGCAUUACCUGACGCUGAGGAGCGAAAAUGUGGGAGCGAACAGG
Molecule: ribosomal RNA, 252 nt
Filed under: uncultured bacterium
Lineage: Bacteria
Description: partial 16S ribosomal RNA
Rfam family: Bacterial small subunit ribosomal RNA
Source: RNAcentral